RNAcentral lists this unclassified non-coding RNA (246 nucleotides) under Hevea brasiliensis (rubber tree). The record is from RNAcentral. Lineage: Eukaryota; Viridiplantae; Streptophyta; Magnoliopsida; Malpighiales; Euphorbiaceae.
GUCGAAAUAUAGAAUAUAUAAAGUUCAAUUACAUUAGAGAAAGCAUAAACGUACCAUAGAAAUCAAAAAUAAUAAAGUCCAACAACAAAAAUCAAAGGACCUAGCAUAACUAGGAGUUUAUUAUCUUCCAUUCAAACUAGCGGUAACACUCACCAUCAUGAUGCACUUACUUUUGGGAAUUUGAGAUACUUAUGUUUGCUGCUCCUCUGCUCUUUUACCGCAGAAAUCAGACAGGGACUUGCUGGC